GACGAACGCUGGCGGCGUGCUUAACACAUGCAAGUCGAACGAUGAUGCCCAGCUUGCUGGGUGGAUUAGUGGCGAACGGGUGAGUAACACGUGAGUAACCUGCCCCUGACUCUGGGAUAAGCGUCGGAAACGACGUCUAAUACUGGAUAUGAUCACUGGCCGCAUGGUCUGGUGGUGGAAAGAUUUUUUGGUUGGGGAUGGACUCGCGGCCUAUCAGCUUGUUGGUGAGGUAAUGGCUCACCAAGGCGACGACGGGUAGCCGGCCUGAGAGGGUGACCGGCCACACUGGGACUGAGACACGGCCCAGACUCCUACGGGAGGCAGCAGUGGGGAAUAUUGCACAAUGGGCGAAAGCCUGAUGCAGCAACGCCGCGUGAGGGAUGACGGCCUUCGGGUUGUAAACCUCUUUUAGUAGGGAAGAAGCAAAAGUGACGGUACCUGCAGAAAAAGCACCGGCUAACUACGUGCCAGCCGCCGCAGUAA
This 483-nucleotide ribosomal RNA is filed under the name uncultured bacterium. RNAcentral describes it as "partial 16S ribosomal RNA". It matches the Rfam family "Bacterial small subunit ribosomal RNA", at positions 28 to 523 of the family's 1533-position model. The record is from RNAcentral.